Molecule: ribosomal RNA, 429 nt
Filed under: Chloroflexota bacterium
Lineage: Bacteria; Bacillati; Chloroflexota
Description: Chloroflexi bacterium partial 16S ribosomal RNA
Rfam family: Bacterial small subunit ribosomal RNA
Source: RNAcentral
UGGGGAAUAUUGCACAAUGGGCGCAAGCCUGAUGCAGCCAUGCCGCGUGUAUGAAGAAGGCCUUCGGGUUGUAAAGUACUUUCAGCGGGGAGGAAGGGAGUAAAGUUAAUACCUUUGCUCAUUGACGUUACCCGCAGAAGAAGCACCGGCUAACUCCGUGCCAGCAGCCGCGGUAAUACGGAGGGUGCAAGCGUUAAUCGGAAUUACUGGGCGUAAAGCGCACGCAGGCGGUUUGUUAAGUCAGAUGUGAAAUCCCCGGGCUCAACCUGGGAACUGCAUCUGAUACUGGAAAGCUUGAGUCUCGUAGAGGGGGGUAGAAUUCCAGGUGUAGCGGUGAAAUGCGUAGAGAUCUGGGGGAAUACCGGUGGCGAAGGCGGCCCCCUGGACGAAGACUGACGCUCAGGUGCGAAAGCGUGGGGAGCAAACAGG